ACAAAAUGUGCUUUAACCGUCAAGUCAGUCAGCGCAAAAUCACAAAUGGGUGAUGAGGAGAUGAGAUGGAGCUCACGUUUAAAGUUAAAUGUAAUUACCAGACUAGACCACGACUAGUUGUAAAAUCAUUAGUAUGCAAUUUCUCGACUACAAUAUUUCUUACAGUGGUUGCUUGUUUUGUAAACAGCUGUUUACGCGAUAGAUAAGAAAAACACACGCAUAGUACAUACAUACAUACAUAUAUACAAACAUAUUUAUGCAUAUUCACAAGCAACUGAACACUCAGUGACAUGUGGAUGGUGAAAUUCUUGCGGUACAUUAUGUGUGGUGAAAUGUGGGAGUCAAAAUGGGUGUAACAAAUCACAAAUGGAGCACUCCCAUUUACGUUUUUGAAAUAGAAGAAGAGAAGCAAAUAUUGCGUCAGAGGAAAGCAGAGUGGCUUAGUAGACCAUAGGCCAUGAAAAUGAACCUACCCGCAUUUUAUGUUAUUAGAAAAGUGUGAGAAGUUGGCAACUAGUUACUUGGACGACCCGCUUGAAUUUUGUACGUUAAAAAUGGGUUUGUAUGAAAAUUUUCUCAGUUGUCUCGUUUGAUGCGGGUUAUGGGCUGGUGACAUCAUUGGGCCGUAUUUCUUCGAAGAUGAUGCGAAUCGUAACGCAAGAGCUUGAAUU
This is a long non-coding RNA of Ceratitis capitata (Mediterranean fruit fly), 671 nucleotides long. RefSeq lists it as uncharacterized. NCBI's taxonomy places the organism in Eukaryota, Metazoa, Arthropoda, Insecta, Diptera, Tephritidae. The record is from RefSeq and is a predicted model, not a curated record. The transcript is spliced from 4 exons.